Non-coding RNA from Oryctolagus cuniculus (rabbit), 2145 nucleotides. NCBI's taxonomy places the organism in Eukaryota, Metazoa, Chordata, Mammalia, Lagomorpha, Leporidae. The record is from RefSeq and is a predicted model, not a curated record.
GCCAAGUGACGCCUUAAAGAGCUGGCCGGACUGCUACUGCCUGCUUUUUAUCUCUGGAACUCCAAAGGUGCCUCCAGCGCCCAGGACUGCGCGGUUUCUGAGGCGGCUGCAUCGCGGGAGUUGGCACAUCGCGAGAUUUCAGGAGCCGCCAGCCCGCGUCCGGGCAGGUGGGGAUGACGGUUAUUCAGGAGAGCCCAGCCCUGCGGGCGCUGCAUUCUGGGAUUGAAAUGGAAGACAGAGCAAGGAUGAGGUGAGUGCCCGUGCCCCGGGCGUCCGGAAGUCUUUUCCAGACCUCCAUGUUUUAGGCAAAUCUCAACUCUGGUCUUCCGGACACGACAGAGAGAAUGCAGAAGCCUGAGGAGCACCUAGAUGAAUGCCACUCCUACAUGAGAAUUUGGAUAGUCCUGUACAAAAGAUGUGUUGACGCUGGUUUUGGAAAGGAAACAUGGAAACUGUUAAUAGCUCCUGAGACCAAGAACCCAGAGCUCCUCAGAAGACAAGAGUGAAAAGUUACAUUCUUUCCUUUUGGAGUUCCUUCAGGGUAGAAAGUGUAAUCAAUAGCUCAGUAAAUUAUCCUGUGACAAUUGAAGAGUACCUAAAGCUGAGUAAGUAGAAUAAGCAAGAUUAAUUUCCCUCUCAUUGCUGUCAGCAAACCUCCCACCCACUAUGAAGCACUGAUAAGCUUCCAUCGCGAUCAAGAAGGGUUACUUGCUGCCACCUCCUUUUGGACACUACACUUAAUAGAUGGUCCAUGAGUUACAAACUUUUUUACUACUUCAUCUGGUAUUUCUCUGCAUGGAAGAAUAUGAGAUCAAGAUAUACAGAAGUUUGCCUACUCUUGAAAACUAAUUGAAUACCCCAAAUACCUUUUCAAAAAGCAAAAAGCAAGGACAGUCUCUUCAACACAUGAUGCUGGGAGAACUGGAUCACCGCAUGCAGAAGUAUCAACAAGACCCCUACCUUACACCUGACAUAAAAAUCCACUCCAAAUGGAUUAAAUACCUAAAUCCAAUAUCAUCAAAUUAUUAGAGAACAUUGGGGAAACCCUGCAAGACAUUGGCAUAGGAAAAGAGUUUUUGAAAAAGACACCAGAGGCACAAGCAACCAAAGCCAAAAUUCACAAAUGGGAUUACAUCAAAUUGAGAAGCUUCUGUACUGCAAAAGAAACAUUCAAGAAAGUGAAGAAGUAACUGACAGAAUGAAAGAAAUUAUUUGAAAACUAUUCAACUGAUAAAGAAUUAAUAACCAGAAUAUAUAAAGAGAUCAAGAAACUCAACAACAAAACAAAUAAUCCAGUUAAGAAAUGGGCAAAACACUUAAACAGGCAUUUCUCAAGAGGAAAUCUAAAUGGCCAACAGACACAUGAAAAAAUGCUCAGGAACACUAGACAUCAGGGAAAUGCAAAUUAAAACCACAAUGAGGUUUCAUCUCAACUCAGUUAAAAUGGCUUUCAAUCAGAAAUCAAUAAACAACAAAUGCUGGCAAGGAUGUCAGGGGAAAAGGUACUCUAAUCUCCUGCUGGUGGGAAUGUAAACUGGAAAAGCCACUAUGGAAGACAGUAUGGAGAUAUCUCAGAAAUCUAAAUAUAGACCUACCAUAUGACUCAUCCAUUCCACUCCUGGGAAUUUAUCCAAGGGAAAUGAAAUCAGCAUAUGAAAGAGUUAUCUGUACCCCAUGUUUAUUGUAGCUCAAUUCACAAUAGCUAAGAAAUGGAAUCAACCCAAAUGCCCAUCAACUGAAGAUUGGAUAAAGAAAUUAUGGGAUAUGUACACUGUGGAAUACUAAAAAGCAGUAAAAAAAAAAUGAAAUCCUGUCAUUUAUAACAAAAUGGAUGAAACUGGAAAACAUCAUACUGAGUGAAAAAAGCCAGUCCCAAAAGGACAAAUACUACAUGUUCUCCCUAACCUGUGAUAACUAAUAGAGCUUCUAAAAGACAAUCUAUAGAAGUGAAAUUGACACAUUGAGAAGCAAUGACUUUGAACAGCCCUUGUCUUGACUGUUGAGGAACAUUUUUUUCACACUAUUUGUUGAAUUCUUUACUUAACAGGGUUAAUCAUAUGCAUAUAAAGUUAUUCGAAAAUAGAUCUUAGUACAAAAUAAGAAUGGGAAUAGGAGAGCGAGGAAAAAGAGGGAUCGAAGAGUGGA